AAAGCGACCUCAGCUYCAUGGCGGGGCUACCCGCUGAGUUUAAAGCAUAUCAAUAAGCGGAGGAAAAGAAAACUAACAAGGAUUCCCCU
Molecule: ribosomal RNA, 89 nt
Filed under: Paloue guianensis
Lineage: Eukaryota; Viridiplantae; Streptophyta; Magnoliopsida; Fabales; Fabaceae
Description: partial 26S ribosomal RNA
Rfam family: Eukaryotic large subunit ribosomal RNA
Source: RNAcentral